This 613-nucleotide ribosomal RNA is filed under the name Papiliotrema flavescens. RNAcentral describes it as "eukaryotic LSU rRNA". It matches the Rfam family "Eukaryotic large subunit ribosomal RNA", at positions 66 to 668 of the family's 3401-position model. Lineage: Eukaryota; Fungi; Basidiomycota; Tremellomycetes; Tremellales; Rhynchogastremaceae. The record is from RNAcentral.
GAACUGGCAUUCCCUAGUAACGGCGAGUGAACCGGGAAGAGCUCAAAUUUGAAAUCUGGCGUGCUCAGUGCGUCCGAGUUGUAAUCUAUAGAGUCGUUUUCCGUGCCGGACUGUGUCCAAGUCCCUUGGAACAGGGUAUCAAAGAGGGUGAUAAUCCCGUACUUGACACAAUGACCGGUGCUCUGUGAUACGUCUUCUACGAGUCGAGUUGUUUGGGAAUGCAGCUCAAAAUGGGUGGUGAGUUCCAUCUAAAGCUAAAUAUUGGCGAGAGACCGAUAGCGAACAAGUACCGUGAGGGAAAGAUGAAAAGCACUUUGGAAAGAGAGUUAAACAGUACGUGAAAUUGUUAAAAGGGAAACGAUUGAAGUCAGUCGUGACUGAGAGGCUCAGCCGGUUCUGCCGGUGUAUUCCCCUCAGUCGGGUCAACAUCAGUUUUGUUCGGUGGAUAAGGGCAGUUGGAAGGUGGCACCCUCGGGUGUGUUAUAGCCAGCUGUCGCAUACAUCGGAUGAGACUGAGGAAUGCAGCUCGCCUUUAUGGCCGGGGUUCGCCCACGUUCGAGCUUAGGAUGUUGACAUAAUGGCUUUAAACGACCCGUCUUGAAACAACGGACCA